GCGGAUACAUGGUCUGUGUUUGCAAAAUGGUUAUGCAAGCAUAGAAAGCAUUAUUGCUAAUCGGGUGAGCCGUAUCAGAUCUAAGUACGUUCCCCGAACAAACGGGAUGCGCAAUCGACGUUAGACUUUCAAAACCGAGCGAAAAGACAGAAAUCCCUGCUCCGAAUAUUAACGCUUACAGUCCAUCAUCCUUACUUAACGUUCCAUGCACCGCGGAGCUAACUCUUCAUCCGUUUCCUUCCUUACAAUGCACAUCCGUCAGGGCCAGAGUCUUUGUGGCAAUCUUUCAUAUUCAGCACGCAAUGAACCCUUCAUGGACACCAGCUGCAUUAGCCUGGCUUGUCGUCCUCGCGGCAGCCUGGGCAAAUGGCCCAACGCGAUUUAAGUAUGCUGCUGCUUGCGGCCAAGAAAGUGGCAUUCCAAAACUGUCAUAUCAUCCCCUGGUUUCGUUGUAUUUGGUUUGCAUACAAGUCGACGUGGAUACUACCUGCUGUGACCGCCGUAUCAGAAGACACUUUUCCUGUACGGGCGGAACCAACAACAGCGAAGUUCAAAAAACCCGACUAGUAGCUAAAACUCAGCAUUCAUAGAGUUAAACGUCCCCGUCCGUGACUUGUACAUAACAAUCCAAGCAUCUCCUAAGCGUCUUUCUCCCCCUUCGUAAGGCCAUCGCGUCCACCAACGCACGUCUUACAUCCGCCCAGUACAGUGCCGUUGAAGCUGUGACGAGUAAUAUGAACGCUUAAGUAAUUUAUGAACAUCCGCUGCGUUUGCCUAGCAUUGUCGUAAAGGAGGUCGCGUCGGCAUCAGGCCAUCAACGUUGCGCCCAGGACAACACUUGCUGCAGCCAAGAAACAGAAAGUAUAUCUCUAUUCGUUCAUCCCCUUGGUCUUAGGGUUGCCCCUAAGACGACGUAGAUACCACCUCCUGACACCGCCGUACCGGAAAGCACUUUUCCGGUACGGGCAGAGCCAGCAGCAUUCCAGGUUCAGAAUUGAACCCAAAGGCAGAAAUCACCAUUCUGAGAGUUGAACGUCGCCAUCCAUGAUUUAGACAUACCAUUCCAUGGCCUGUGCAUGCGCGUCCGUGUCCUUCACUACGUUGCCAUCACGUCCACCAACGCACACUUGACAUCCGUCCUGUCCAGAGCCGUCGUCGCGAGCUUCGACAACAUGAAUGUAAGCAACAUUCGGAACAUCCGUCCUGUUUGCAUGGGAUUGUCGUCCUCCCGCCGGCGGAAAAGCCACUCAACGUAUUGCUUAAGAAUUCCUACCCAAGCCUAUAACACAAACAUAAUAACAUUGUCCUAGCAUUCCAUAGCCCUACUUGACUUGCCUACAAGUCCACAGAAACGAGUUGCCCCGGUCGGACCCUCCAAGUCUAGCCCAGUAGCUUACUGUGGGCUGACGUUAGUGAACAUGGAAUGCAAGCUGUGUGUGUGCUCAUCCCCUUUGAAAAAGGUU
Molecule: long non-coding RNA, 1463 nt
Filed under: Volvox carteri
Lineage: Eukaryota; Viridiplantae; Chlorophyta; Chlorophyceae; Chlamydomonadales; Volvocaceae
Description: long non-coding RNA (VCAR_LNC003578)
Source: RNAcentral